This 134-nucleotide microRNA precursor is filed under the name Picea abies (Norway spruce). Its description in RNAcentral is "miR397b stem-loop (pab-MIR397b)". Its record names the gene pab-MIR397b. The record is from miRBase by way of RNAcentral. Lineage: Eukaryota; Viridiplantae; Streptophyta; Pinopsida; Pinales; Pinaceae.
AGCCGUGGCAACCACAUCAUUGAGUGCAGCGUUGACGAUAGAAAUUCCACCAAUAGAUUUGAUAAUAUCUAUCUAUUUGUGGAAUGCCAUUGAUAUUGUUAACCCUGCACUCAAUAGUAUGUUUGCCAAUGGCU